Dromaius novaehollandiae (emu) is the source of this 702-nucleotide long non-coding RNA. RefSeq lists it as uncharacterized. The record is from RefSeq and is a predicted model, not a curated record. NCBI's taxonomy places the organism in Eukaryota, Metazoa, Chordata, Aves, Casuariiformes, Dromaiidae. The transcript is spliced from 4 exons.
AGGAGGCCCAUUUAAGAGCUAUUUUUGACUACCCAUUUCUCUCUGCUGCCUCUAUUCUUUAUGUAAAUCCAUUUGCGACUUCAGUAUCACUGUUCUUGCAGCAAGAUGACUGUUGUAACCACUCUGUAAAGACUCCACUCAGGCUUUCUGCCCCACCAUAAACAUCUUGAAUUAGAAACCCCACAUUGCUCAAAUCUGAUACGUGUCCCUCUUCUCUUCUUGUUGGAAGCCAUUAUCAGCAGAUGGACAUGCUGUUUUUGAAGUCCUUGGCUUUGAGCUGCAACGGACAGGGCUUUCGGAAGAUCAAAGUGGUAGAAACACCAGCAAAAAAUGGUUCUCUUCGUAGGAGGUGUGGAUCAUGAAGAAAUUUCAUGGAAGACAUGACUAUAUUUCCUUUUACUCACUUUUUUAACACUCAUGAAACUACAAGCAAACAUAAACUAGUACAGGGAUGUCUACCCGAAACUUCAAAGAGCCAAAAGCAGCAUCACCUUAGAAAAAUAAACUGCCUCAUUUGCCAAAAUGAAGGUCUGUGACCUCUCCCAUUCUGUGGCUGUGUCGCCUAGCAUUGGCCUAAUUUGUCAGGGAAUCUGAUGCAUCCAGGCCCCUCACAUGUGAUUUCUGUACCUGUUUCCUGCUUAUUACCCUUUGGUGCUCCACCUUAUCUCACAGCUGGGCUCAGGCCUAGGUAGGUUCCUCCCA